Tigriopus californicus is the source of this 1235-nucleotide long non-coding RNA. RefSeq lists it as uncharacterized. NCBI's taxonomy places the organism in Eukaryota, Metazoa, Arthropoda, Copepoda, Harpacticoida, Harpacticidae. The transcript is spliced from 4 exons. The record is from RefSeq and is a predicted model, not a curated record.
CAAUCAUAAUUGGUAUAUUCAAGUUGCUCAAACGCGAAUAUCUUUAGCGAUAGAUUUUUAAUUGAUUUCGACAUACGUACCUGACUAUCAUCACAGUUUCUAUUCAUCAUGGGGUCAACCAAGAUUCUCUUUUUGAUCGCGAUCCUCAUCCACAUCGCCGUAGCCCAAGAUCGCCAAUGUUUUUUUGAAGGUUGUCUUUUUGCGGGUCCCACCCUGAACCUGGACUCGCCUGACUUGGCCCAAACCGUUCAGGAUUGCCAAUGGCUUUGUCAACAAACACCUGAUUGUCUUUAUUGGAAUUGGGUGUCUCCCGAAUAUGACGGACCUGCUUACCAAAUCUACACGUGUUGGCUUUUAUCUGACAGCCCUAUUCUAUUAGUGGAACAGGGUCUGCUUGGUGGUGAACGAGAUUGUGCGGACAUACCCGCAUAAAAUUGAUCUGUCAUCUAUCUAUCCAUCAGGGUUGUGAAGAAUAAAUCGCUUUGCUGUUUAUGAGCUUGCUCAUUUUCAAAUGUAACCAUCCAUAUAUACGAAUUACUAACAAAGGCUUGACUAAAGGCAGUCAGGCUAUUUGUUCAGGAGUUCCUAAAACAUGUUCCAUCAAGGUAUUGGUUUGUGAAAAAAGCAACUAGAAUCCUAAAAUAUAUGGAAAAAAUGAUUCAAUUUUGCAUCAGAAUUUAUUCAAUUCUUAUUCGUUUCUUCCACUCCAUUUUUGUUUACCUAAAUGAUGAAUCUGUUGACUCGAACUUACUUUAGCGCUCCCUAAGUCUCUACAAAUAAGAUUUUAUAGGCCUAUAGCUAAAGAAGGGCUUAUCAUUAAUCAUUCAACAAUCAUAGUAUAGACAAGCACAUCAUGUUCUUAACUCAGUUUGUUAUUCUCAUUUGCUGCUGCCUCAUUCAAAUUAUAGUAGCUCAAAACCACCAAUGUUUCUACACGAAUGUCUUAUUACCGGCCCCCACGUUGAAUCUCUUUGAUCCAGACCUGACUCGAACUGCCCGAGAUUGUCAAUGGCUUUGUCAACAAACCAAAGCUUGCCUGUUUUGGAAUUGGGUGUCUCCCCAAUAUGCAGGCUCGGUCUAUCCAAUCUACACUUGUUGGCUUCUGUCUGACAAAUCGAUGCCUAUAGUCUUCAAUGGUUUAAUGGGCGGCGAUCGAGACUGCGAGGACGUGCCUCUUGUCUAAUUUGUACGUGUCAUUAUCGAAAAAGGGUAAAUAAAGACUUCUUUCACUUGAA